RNAcentral lists this ribosomal RNA (490 nucleotides) under uncultured bacterium. Its description in RNAcentral is "partial 16S ribosomal RNA". It matches the Rfam family "Bacterial small subunit ribosomal RNA", at positions 30 to 507 of the family's 1533-position model. The record is from RNAcentral.
AUUGAACGCUGGCGGCAGGCCUAACACAUGCAAGUCGAACGGUAACAGGAAACAGCUUGCUGUUUCGCUGACGAGUGGCGGACGGGUGAGUAAUGUCUGGGAAACUGCCUGAUGGAGGGGGAGAACUACUGGAAACGGUAGCUAAUACCGCAUAACGUCGCAAGACCAAAGAGGGGGACCUUCGGGCCUCUUGCCAUCGGGUGUGCCCAGAUGGGAUUAGCUAGGAGGUGGGGUAACGGCUCACCUAGGCGACGAUCCCUAGCUGGUCUGAGAGGAUGACCAGCCACACUGGAACUGAGACACGGUCCAGACUCCUACGGGAGGAAGCAGUGGGGAAUAUUGCGCAAUGGGCGCAAGCCUGAUGCAGCCAUGCCGCGUGUAUGAAGAAGGCCUUCGGGUUGUAAAGUACUUUCAGCGGGGAGGAAGGGAGUAAAGUUAAUACCUUUACUCAUUGACGUUACCCGCAGAAGAAGCACCGGCUAACUCCGUG